RNAcentral lists this ribosomal RNA (254 nucleotides) under uncultured bacterium. Its description in RNAcentral is "partial 16S ribosomal RNA". It matches the Rfam family "Bacterial small subunit ribosomal RNA", at positions 524 to 776 of the family's 1533-position model. The record is from RNAcentral.
UACGUAGGGUGCAAGCGUUGUCCGGAAUUAUUGGGCGUAAAGAGCUCGUAGGUGGUUCGGUAAGUCGGAUGUGAAAUCUCCAGGCUCAACCUGGAGGGGUCAUUCGAUACUGCCGUGACUAGAGGUCGAUAGGGGAGUGUGGAAUUCCUGGUGGAGCGGUGAAAUGCGCAGAUAUCAGGAGGAACACCCGUAGCGAAGGCGGCACUCUGGGCCGAUACUGACACUGAGGAGCGAAAGCGUGGGGAGCGAACAGG